UUAAAAAACUGGACUCAGUUGGCAUGAUGCUGUACAUUUGAAUUUUAGAAAUACUAAGAUAUUAUGAUAUAUGUAUUUAUAAGUAUGUGCCCAUGCAGGUAUAAAUAAUUCCUUGCCAUUGCAAAUUUAAGUGCCAGAUACCUUUUCUGUUUGUUUAUUUAGCACCAUAUGUUAAAGUCAAAUUCGUGGAUGAUGGUCAGGUGGAAGUCUAUGAUUCUGCCUUACUCUAUGGUGAAAUUAUACAUCCAGAGACAGAUGAUUCAAUUAAAUUUAAAGACUUGUAUAUAGGUCAGGAAGUUGCUGCAUGGUGGUGAAACACAAAUCACUAUUAAGCUACAGUUAUAGAGCUAUUUACAGGUGAAAAGUCAAAAGGAAAGGCCGGUCCAUUAAAAAAAAGCACAGAAACCAGCAAAAGUGAUAGAGAAGAAGAAAAAUAAGAAGACAAAAAAUAAGAAGCCAGUGACAAAUGAAGAUGGAGGAAGUGAUGACAGUUCUGAAGAAAUCAGUGUAAUGGAGGUGGAUGUGAAAAAAAAAAUAAAAAGAAAUUGAAGCAGAAAAGAAAAAGAACAAGGAAGCAGUAAUGGCAGCCAGUCAACAAGUUGCAGCUUCAUUAUUUUCCAAGAAAACGGUAGUUACUGCCAAUGCAGAUUCAAUUAAUGCCUAUUCCUUUGAACAGCAGUCUGCAUGCCCUACCACCUUAUCUGCCUUUCCUCAAAACAUCUACUUCUUCAAGUACUGAAACCCUAUCACCUUCACUGUCUCACCCUGCAACCAAAGAGAGUCACAAAAUGACAGCUGAACUGUCUGGCUAUGAAGCCCCAAAACCCUCUGCCUCCCCAAAACCCUCUUCCUCUGAAAUUCCAUUUCCACAUAUUGUCACACCCCUUUCCAGUACUACAACCCAAGAAACAAUCACUUCGUCAGCUUCUGUGAAUGCACCCUUCCACUAUUCACAACAGGCAUGUAGCACAAACUUCCCACUUUCAUACCCUUUUGCUCAGGGAACGCAAUAUCCUUCAUAUCCUCUCUACCCUCAACCUGUAUACUCUCAACCUAUAUAGAGGCCAUACUGGAAUCAACCAUACACUAGUGCUUUUUCUAGGACGUCUGACUACACUGAGGAUAAUCAGUGUCCGGAUAGAGGAGGAGUUCUUGGUAACAACCAGUCAGCUGGUCAACUUCUUGACAUCAGUAGCAACUGCUCUUUGAAUGAGUCAGAAUUUAUGACACGUUCAAUAAAUGUUAUUGAUGGAGAAGUUGAUAUGGCAAGGUCAUCAACACCAAGAUCUCCUUCACCGGUUGAAACCAGUUUACUUCAGACCUGUCAGGCAUGCCUAACUCUUCCCCUACAGGCCGCAAAGUGGCCCCAACAAUAGGUUGCUUUGAUUGCAGUCUUAAAGAUCAAAUUAUUAAAGACCUAAGGGCUGAAAUUGAUCAGCUGAAACAGACAUUGAAUGGUAAGGGUUUUGUAUAUUUUGUAAAGCCUGGAAAAGUGACCUCCAUAAUAAAAUUAACAUAGAGUAUAUAAAGUUAUCUCAACAGAUAUACCAGCUUUGUGGGUCAUUUUCCACAUUGACCUGAAGUGGGACAGGGGGAGGGUAUAUAGACUCUUUCUUUGAAAACAUCGUUUGUGAUAGGAUGGUAUAACGAUUUGGUUUCAAAUUUCAAGCGAUUAGAUCUGCCUUUGGCCAUUUACCAUGCAAAAUAUAACAUAUACUGGUGGCAAAGUAUACAAAGUAGUGUUUUAUUGGAACAUAACUUGUAAAGGCAUUUGAUUGGAGCUUCACAUAAUGAUAGAGGCAUUUUAUAAACAUGUUUCAGUUUUCCAUAAAAUACAUGUUGUGUCUAUAUUAUGUUUUUUAGUUCACCUGUUACAAAGUGACAAGGUGAGCUUUUGUGAUCGUGCGGUGUCCGUCGUCCGUCGUGAGUCCGUAAACUUUUGCUUGUGACCACUCUAGAGGUCACAUUUUUCAUGGGAUCUUUAUGAAAGUUGGUCAGAAUGUUCAUCUUGAUGAUAUCUAGGUCAAGGUCGAAACUGGGUCACGUUCCAUCAAAAACUAGGUCAGUAGGUCUAAAAAUAGAAAAACCUUGUGACCUCUCUAGAGGCCAUAUAUUUCACAAGAUCUUCAUGAAAAUUGGUCAGAAUGUUCACCUUGAUGAUAUCUAGGUCAAGUUCGAAACUGGGUCAAGUGCCAUCAAAAACUAGGUCAGUAGGUCUAAAAAUAGAAAAACCUUGUGACCUCUCUAGAGGCCAUAUAUUUCACAAGAUCUUCAUGAAAAUUGGUCAGAACGUUCACCUUGAUGAUAUCUAGAUCAAGUUCGAAACUGGGUCACGUGCCAUCAAAAACUAGGUCAGUAGGUCAAAUAAUAGAAAAACCUUGUGACCUCUGUAAAGGCCGUACUUUUCAUGGGAUCUGUAUGAAAGUUGGUCUGAAUGUUCAUCUUGAUGAUAUCUAGGUCAAGUUUGAAACUGGGUCACGUGCGUUCAAAAACUAGGUCAGUAGGUCUAAAAAUAGAAAAACCUUGUGACCUCUCUAGAGGCCAUAUAUUUCAUGAGAUCUUCAUGAAAAUUGGUCAGAAUGUUCACCUUGAUGAUAUCUAGGUCAAGUUCGAAAGUGGGUCACAUGCCGUCAAAAACUAGGUCAGUAGGUCAAAUAAUAGAAACACCUUGUGACCUCUCUAGAGGCCAUAUUUUUCAUGGGACCUGUAUGAAACUUGGUCUGAAUGUUCAUCUUGAUGAUAUCUAGGUCAGUUUCGAAAGUGGGUCACAUGCCGUCAAAAACUAGGUCAGUAGGUCAAAUAAUAGAAAAACCUUGUGACCUCUCUAAAGGCCAUAUUUUUCAUGGAAUCUGUAUAAAAGUUGGUCUGAAUGUUCAUCUUGAUGAUAUCUAGGUCAAGUUGGAAACAGGGUCAUGUGCGUUCAAAAACUAGGUCAGUAGGUCUAAAAAUAGAAAAACCUUGUGACCUCUCUAGAGGCCAUCCUUGUGAAUGGAUCUCCAUAAAAAUUGGUCAGAAUGUUCACCUUGAUGAUAUCUAGGUCAAGUUUGAAACUGGGUCAUGUGCCUUAAAAAACUAGGUCAGUAGGUCAAAUAAUAAAAAAACCUUGUGACCUCUCUAGAGGCCGUACUUUUCAUGGGAUCUGUAUGAAAGUUGGUCUGAAUGUUCAUCUUGAUGAUAUCUAGGUCAAGUUUGAAACAGGGUCAUGUGCGUUCAAAAACUAGGUCAGUAGGUCUAAAAAUAGAAAAACCUUGUGACCUCUCUAGAGGCCAUAUAUUUCAUGAGAUCUUCAUGAAAAUUGGUCAGAAUGUUUACCUUGAUGAUAUCUAGGUCAAGUUUGAAAGUGGGUCACGUGCCGUCAAAAACUAGGUCAGUAGGUCAAAUAAUAGAAACACCUUGUGACCUCUUUAGAGGCCAUAUUUUUCAUGGGAUCUGUAUGAAACUUGGUCUGAAUGUUCAUCUUGAUGAUAUCUAGGUCAGUUUCAAAAGUGGGUCACAUGCCAUCAAAAACUAGGUCAGUAGGUCAAAUAAUAGAAAAACCUUGUGACCUCUCUAAAGGCCAUAUUUUUCAUGGAAUCUGUAUAAAAGUUGGUCUGAAUGUUCAUCUUGAUGAUAUCUAGGUCAAGUUCGAAACUGGGUCACAUGCCAUCAAAAACUAGGUCAGUAGGUCUAAAAAUAGAAUAACCUUGUGACCUCUCUAGAGGCCAUAUAAUUCACAAGAUCUUCAUGAAAAUUGAUCAGAAUGUUCACCUUGAUGAUAUCUAGGUCAAGUUCGAAACUGGGUCACGUGCCUUCAAAAACUAGGUCAGUAGGUCUAAAAAUAGAAAAACCUUGUGACCUCUCUAGAGGCCAUAUAUUUCACAAGAUCUUCAUGAAAAUUGGUCAGAACGUCCACCUUGAUGAUAUCUAGGUCAGGUUCGAAACUGGGUCACAUGCCAUCAAAAACUAGGUCAGUAGGUCAAAUAAUAGAAAAACCUUGUGACCACUCUAAAGGCCAUAUUUUUCAUGGGAUCUGUAUGAAAGUUGGUCUGAAUGUUCAUCUUGAUGAUAUCUAGGUCAGAUUUGAAACUGGGUCACAUGCAGUCAAAACUAGGUCAGUAGGUCUAAAAAUAGAAAAACCUUGUGACCUCUCUAGAGGCCAUAUAUUUCAUGAGAUCUUCAUGAAAAUUGGUCAGAAUGUUCACCUUAAUGAUAUCUAAGUCAAGUUUGAAAGUCGGUCACGUGCCAUCAAAAUCUAGGUCAGAAGGUCAAAUAAUAGAAAAACCUUGUGACCUCUCUAGAGGCCAUAUUUUUCAUGGGAUCUGUAUGAAAAUUGGCCUGAAUGUUCAUCUUGAUGAUAUCUAGGUCAAGUUUGAAAGUGGGUCACGUGCCGUCAAAAACUAGGUCAGUAGGUCAAAUAAUAGAAAACAUUGUGACCUUCCUAAGGACCAUAUUUUUCAUGGGAUCUGUAUGAAAAUUGGUCUGAAUGUUCAUCUUGAUGAUAUCUAGGUCAAAUUCGAAACAGGGUCAUGUGUGGUCAAAAACUAGGUCAUUAGGUCUAAAAAUAGAAAAACCUUGUGACCUCUUUAGAGGCCAUACUUGUGAAUGGAUCUCCAUAAAAAUUGGUCAGAGUGUUCACCUUGAUGAUAUCUAGGUCAGGUUUGAAACUGGGUCACGUGCCUUAAAAAACUAGGUCAGUAGGUCAAAUAAUAAAAAAAACCUUGUGACCUCUCUAAAGGCCAUACUUUUCAUGGCAUCUGUAUGAAAUUUGGUCUGAAUGUUCAUCUUGAUGAUAUCUAGGUCAAGUUUGAAACUGGGUCAACUGCGGUCAAAAACUAGGUCAGUAGGUCUAAAAUUAUUAAAAUCUUUUGACCUCUCUAGAGGCCAUAUUUUUCAAUGGAUCUUCAUGAAAAUUGAUCUGAAUAUUCACCUUGAUGAUAUCUAGGUCAGUUUCGAAACUGGGUCACGUGCAGUCAAAAACUAGGCCAGUAGGUAUAAAAAUAGAAAAACCUUGUGACCUCUCUAGAGGCCAUAUUUUUCAUGAGAUCUUCAUGAAAAUUAGUGAGAAUGUUCACCUUGAUGAUAUCUAGGUAAAGUUCAAAACAGGGUCACGUACCUUCGAAAACUAGGUCACUAUGUCAAAUAAUAGAAAAACCUUGUGACCUCUCUAGAGAUCAUAUUUUUCAAUGGAUCUUCAUGAAAAUUGGGUCAUGUGGAGAAGGUGAGCGAUUCAGGACCAUCAUGGUCCUCUUGUUACAUUUGAUAGUUAUGCAGUAUUCAGUAGAUUUUUUAUGCAUGUACCUGAUGUUCAAGAGGUGCAUUAUUCAAUUGAAAUUUACAUAUCUCAGAUUUAAGCCACACAUUUGUUUGAUUUUUAUACAUGUAUCUCAAGUUUAAGCCGAUCAUUAUUCAGGUGAUCACAUGUUCAAAUCAGCAUUCCUCAGGAUUUCCCUCUUUAUAAUAUCUGUUAAACAUUAGUAUUAAGUUAAAAUCUGCUGGUGUCUUUCUGUGGUCUGUUCACCUUUCUUAACAAAUUAUGAAAAUGGCCAGCUAAUCUUGAUGCUUUUACUCACAGUAGAAUUACAUUGAAUUAUGUCUUUUGAUAUCAAAUAUAGUUCUGAAUGAUUGUUUGAAGCUGUUAAAUUAAUAAUCCAUUGUUUCUACAGAAUCCUUGUUAAUGUAUAUAAUUAUACAUAUCAAUAAUUGUUCCCUUACUUGUGAGAAUCGUAUACAUUUGUCACAUGUAUGUAAAUAAUGUAUUGCUCAUGUUUUCAUCAGGGUAUCUUAUUCAUGAUUUAAUGGUAUACUGAGCGUCAUUGAAAAGUUACCACUUAAUAUAUACCUCUACUUUUUUAUACAAUAUCGACGUCACUUUUUCAUGGCCUGUGUGCGGUCUAUUACUCAUAGACACUGUCUGAUCAUGUCUUCUAACCCAUUUCACGACUGUCAUGUAAGAACAGCACAUUCGACGUGCAAUUUCACGACAUGGAAGUUCGGCGUCAACCAUGCCAAUGGCCUGAUGGCGUUGAUCAUGCCUUAAACAUGGCAUUCUUAGCAAGGAUAUUCUGUUUUUUAACAUAUUCCUUUUAGUCUGUCUACUCACUUUCAAGUGUGAUGAAUGAUUUGCGAUAGAAUUUUCGUACAUGUCAACAUUGCUGGAAAAAGUCAUUUUGCACGUGUAGCCAGUGCCUCAAAUGGAGUUUAUCAAAUUUGACAAAUCUUUACACCAGUUACGUCUCAGUUGCAUCAAAAAUGCGAUUUUUAAAAUAUAAGGGCCAAAAGGGUGUUAACUUUUCAGUUACGCUGCGUAGAGUAUUUUGUUUGUAUUUUGUUUAAAUUUGUAUUUUCAUAUCAUAUGUUUUGUUAGUAUUUUGUUGGCAGUGUUUUGUUAGUGUUUUCUUAAGCACAUACGAUGAAACACUAACAAAACAUACAAUGAAACACUAACAAAACAUAAGAUAUUUUGUUAGUGUUUUGUAUAAAUAUAAUUUGCAUAUCAUGUUUUAUUGGUAUUUUGAUAGCAAUGUUUUGUUAGUAUUUUGUUAGCUCAUUUGCAUGUCAUUUGCUAUACUAAUAAAACAUCAUCAAAACACAGUAUAGUAUUAGUGUUUUGUUUCCCCUUUUUUUUUUCGCUUGGGAAGCUUGUCUGCAUUCUAAGUCAAACAUUUCUCAUCCGAUCUUCACUAAAUUUGAACAAAAUAUGUUUGACCAUAACACCUCGGCCAAGUUCAAUAACUAGCCAAAUCAGUCUAGGCAUAUUGGAGUUACUGCCCUUGAAUUUCCAAAAAUCGGCCUUUUCACUUUUGUCCGCACUCUGUCAAACAUUUCUCAUCCGAUCUUCACCAAACUUGAACUUAAUGUGUUUGACCAUGAGACCUUAACCAAGUUCAAUAACUAGCCAAAUCAGUCCAGGCAUUUUGGAAUUAUGGCACUUGAAUUACCGAAAAAUAAGCCUUUUUACUCUUGCCUGCACUCUAGGUCAAACAUUUCUCAUCUGAUCUUCACCAAACUUGAACAAAAUGUGUUUGACCAUGAGACCUUGGCCAAGGUUGAUAACUAACCAAAUCGGUUCAGGCAUUUUGGAGUUACAGCCCUUGAAUUACCAAAAAAUCGACUUUUUUUGCUCUUGUCCGCACUCUAAGUUGAACAUUUAUGAUCAGAUCUUCACUAAAUUUGAACAAAAUGUGUUUGACCAUAAGACCUUGGACAAGUUCAAUAAUGAGCCAAAUCGGUCCAGGCAUUUUGGAGUUCUGGCCCUUGAAUUGUAGUGAGUAAACGGUAUAUAAAGACUGACUUGCUAUUUAGAUGAUUAGGCAGUUGUGGUUGACAUUUGCUUUUCUCAAAAGCAGCUCUAGUUUAUGUAUCUUAUCUGUAACUUACUAGAAUAUUUUAUGUGAUAUGUACAUGAAUUAUAUUACGAUUGCAGUCUCUUAUAAUUCUUUAAUAGAAUGGUCUUGCAAUAGUUUGUUUAUAAUUGUACACUGUAAUUAUAUGUUUUAUGCAAGAAUAAGACAUAAAUAAAGAUAAAUAACUAUUUAAUGCAAGUAGUGCUACUCGAGAACAUAUAUGAUGUUAUUCAAUAUAUAUUUUAUCUAUCCAGUUGUGAAAAUUCAUUUGCAGCACGUGACCGUACAAUAUAAUAAUAAUUAUUACCUUAUUGGACGCACGUGUGUACAAAACCCGUAUUUUUCCAUAUUUGGACGGUUCAGAAAGUCCCAUUUUAAACAUACGAUAAAGCCCGAAACAAGUGAAAAUGUUCCAAAUGUAAAUCAGGUGAACAGAGUUACAUUAUGCGUCUUGAAAUGAGGAAGACAGAAAUACAAUAUUCAGUGAAUCAUUUUAAUUUGAACUAAAAUAAAACAGAUAUAGAAUAAAAAGGUUAUUAGUCCCCUACUGGUUGAAAACCAGUUUUGGGGACUAUAGGAAUGCGCUUUUCCGUCCGUCCGCAAUUUCUUGUCCGGUCCAUAACUCUCAUCCAUG
Mercenaria mercenaria is the source of this 7956-nucleotide long non-coding RNA. RefSeq lists it as uncharacterized. The transcript is spliced from 5 exons. The record is from RefSeq and is a predicted model, not a curated record. Lineage: Eukaryota; Metazoa; Mollusca; Bivalvia; Venerida; Veneridae.